UUUAACGGCCGCGGUAUUCUGACCGUGCAAAGGUAGCAUAAUCAUUAGUCUUUUAAUAGAGGGCUGGAAUGAAGGGUUUGACGAGGUGUUGACUGUCUCAUUUAAUUUGAAUUUAGAAUUUAACUUUUUAGUCAAAAGGCUGAAAUAGUAUUGGAAGACGAGAAGACCCUAUAGAGCUUUAUAAUAUUUUUUUAAUAAUUUUGGUAAAUGAUUAUUUAUUAUUAUAUCUAUUAUUUUGUUGGGGUGACAAAAAUAUAUAAUGAACUUUUUUAUUUAUUUAACAUUGAUUUAUGAUUAUUAGAUCCAAUUUUAUUGAUUAUUAGAACAAGUUACCUUAGGGAUAACAGCGUAAUCUUCUUUCAGAGUUCAUAUUUACAAGAAGGCUUGCGACCUCGAUGUUGGAUUAAGAUGAUAAUUAGGUGUAGCUGCUUAAUGUAUAGGUCUGUUCGACCUUUAAAUUCUUACAUGAUCUGA
RNAcentral lists this ribosomal RNA (474 nucleotides) under Epiophlebia superstes. RNAcentral describes it as "partial 16S ribosomal RNA". It matches the Rfam family "Bacterial large subunit ribosomal RNA", at positions 1923 to 2608 of the family's 2925-position model. The record is from RNAcentral. Lineage: Eukaryota; Metazoa; Arthropoda; Insecta; Odonata; Epiophlebiidae.